ACGAAGGGGGCUAGCGUUGUUCGGAUUUACUGGGCGUAAAGCGCACGUAGGCGGUUCGUUAAGUCGGGGGUGAAAUCCUGGAGCUCAACUCCAGAACUGCCUUCGAUACUGGCGAUCUCGAGUCCGGAAGAGGUGAGUGGAACUCCUAGUGUAGAGGUGGAAUUCGUAGAUAUUAGGAAGAACACCAGUGGCGAAGGCGGCUCACUGGUCCGGUACUGACGCUGAGGUGCGAAAGCGUGGGGAGCAAGCAGG
Molecule: ribosomal RNA, 252 nt
Filed under: uncultured bacterium
Lineage: Bacteria
Description: partial 16S ribosomal RNA
Rfam family: Bacterial small subunit ribosomal RNA
Source: RNAcentral